GCCGGCAGUUAGCUCUCUGCAACUCUUACAUGGUCGCUGAAGCUAAGCAGGCCUGCACCCUGUCAGUAGCUGGAUGGGAGACCACAUGGGAAAGCUAGGUUGCUGCAGGAG
RNAcentral lists this ribosomal RNA (111 nucleotides) under Danio rerio (zebrafish). Lineage: Eukaryota; Metazoa; Chordata; Actinopteri; Cypriniformes; Danionidae. The record is from RNAcentral.